CACCCCCUGCCAGAAACCCUAACUUGCUUGCUAGAUCCUUCGCCACCAGUGACUAGGCUAUCGUCCAUUUAACCCUAACUCGAGUUCUCCUUCGUGUGUGCUAGGGUUUUCUGCAUCGUCACGAGGAUCGGUUUUAAGUUUAGUAAGGAGAUCAUUGUACCCUGCAACAUUUAUCUCCUACAACUUAUGGUAGCUUGCUGGAGGUUCGUGCUGAGAAAAAAGUGUCCAACACUAGAUAUGGAGGAAAUAUUCACCAAAACGUUAAAAUGAUCGAGAAAAUAUUUAACAAUGUUAUUUAUUUUGCAUUGCUAUGUAAUAGUUUAAUUAG
This is a long non-coding RNA of Carya illinoinensis, 328 nucleotides long. RefSeq lists it as uncharacterized. Lineage: Eukaryota; Viridiplantae; Streptophyta; Magnoliopsida; Fagales; Juglandaceae. The transcript is spliced from 3 exons. The record is from RefSeq and is a predicted model, not a curated record.